GAUGAACGCUGACAGAAUGCUUAACACAUGCAAGUCGAUGGGGAAGUGGUGCUUGCACCCUGGUAACCAUGGCGGACGGGUGAGUAACGCGUAAGGAACUUGCCUGCGGGACUGGGAUAACAGCAGGAAACUGCUGAUAAUACCGGAUAAGGUCAUUAAGCUGCAUAGCUUAGUGAUGAAAGGAGACGCCUGCGGAGAGCCUUGCGUCCUAUUAGCUAGUUGGAGGGGUAACGGCCCACCAAGGCGAAGAUAGGUAGCCGGCCUGAGAGGGUGGACGGCCACAAGGGGACUGAGAUACGGCCCUUACUCCUACGGGAGGCAGCAGUGGGGAAUAGUGGACAAUGGGGGUAACCCUGAUCCAGCAAUUCUGUGUGCACGAAGACGGUUUUCGGAUUGUAAAGUGCUUUCAGCAGGGAAGAAGGAAGUGACGGUACCUGCAGAAGAAGCGACGGCUAAAUACGUG
This 463-nucleotide ribosomal RNA is filed under the name uncultured bacterium. RNAcentral describes it as "partial 16S ribosomal RNA". It matches the Rfam family "Bacterial small subunit ribosomal RNA", at positions 28 to 507 of the family's 1533-position model. The record is from RNAcentral.